RNAcentral lists this ribosomal RNA (252 nucleotides) under uncultured bacterium. RNAcentral describes it as "partial 16S ribosomal RNA". It matches the Rfam family "Bacterial small subunit ribosomal RNA", at positions 335 to 584 of the family's 1533-position model. The record is from RNAcentral.
CCUCCUACGGGGCGCAGCAGUGAGGAAUAUUGGUCAAUGGGCGGGAGCCUGAACCAGCCAAGCCGCGUGAGGGAAGAAGGUACAGCGUAUCGUAAACCUCUUUUGUCAGGGAACAAAGGCGGGGACUAGUCCCCGGAUGAGGGUACCUGAAGAAAAAGCAUCGGCUAACUCCGUGCCAGCAGCGGCGGGAAUACGGGGGGUGCGAGCGUUAUCCGGGUUUAUUGGGUUUAAAGGGUGAGCAGGCGGCCUGUU